Mesocricetus auratus (golden hamster) is the source of this 251-nucleotide unclassified non-coding RNA. Its record names the gene 7SK. It matches the Rfam family "7SK RNA". From Rfam's summary of the family: 7SK was discovered as an abundant small nuclear RNA in the mid-70s but a possible function has only recently been suggested. Two independent studies have found that 7SK RNA binds the CDK9/cyclin T complex (known as elongation factor P-TEFb). The record is from Ensembl. Lineage: Eukaryota; Metazoa; Chordata; Mammalia; Rodentia; Cricetidae.
AGGUAGGACUUGGCUGAUCUGGCUGACUAGGUGGGAUUCCCUCCUCCAUCAUGGCUCUCUGAGCAUCUCUUCUAAAGCUGCAAAGUCAGUUGAAGAAGGUAUCCUUCCCUGGUAGAGAUAGACGAGUCCUUGGCCAAGGGUGUAUAAAAGCUGUGCUCCCUACAAGAAUACCCAAACAAAGUCUCUCAAGGUUCUAAUUCAUGUUUAUUUUAAGAAUGUAAAACAGUUCAUGGAUACUACCCAAAAUGUUU